CUUUUCCACGCUGAAAAUUGCCAUUUAAAAGGCUGCAGUGGGCUUCGUGAGGUUUAAGGGGUUUAUUAGUUUUAAAAACCAUGUUCCAUGUUUGGAGGGAGGGGAAACAGCCGCCUUCUUUUCACAUUACGUCAAUCCACAGGCGUCUGUAAUUUACAUUUUUUUAAAACUCAAAUGUUCAGAAAUAAUGGAAAGGCUGCUUGAAAAAAAAGCAGCUGAAAUAAAAACUGGGGGGAAAUGUGUAUUAUACAAAAACCAGACCUGUGAGCCUGAGGCGGGACACACCGAUGACCUGGGGAGCUGAUUAAUGAGGCCAGCCCAAGGAAGCCCAGAGCACAACUCUGGGAUUUACCUGGAGGCCGCCUGCUCUGAGCGAGGCUCGGGAGACCCCACCUGCCAUUCCUGCUCCCACGCAGCCUGGACCUGGACCUGUGGGCAGACAGGCUGAGGACGAGGCUGAACAGAAAGUAAGAAUGAAGCAUGCUUUGUGUUUCUUUAAGAAUCUAGCUUCUCCCUUUGCAUUCCCUCUUCCUCUCUUUCCUUGGAAGCUGGCAAUGAUUCAUCAUGUAUAAAUUGAAGAUAAUCCCAUUUCCUGAUGACUCUUACAGACCAGGGUUGGGGGAGAAGGGUCUCCUAAGAACUUCCAUCUCUCUCUGCUAU
Molecule: long non-coding RNA, 660 nt
Filed under: Oryctolagus cuniculus (rabbit)
Lineage: Eukaryota; Metazoa; Chordata; Mammalia; Lagomorpha; Leporidae
Description: lncRNA (ENSOCUG00000033777.1)
Source: RNAcentral